UGGAAGGUGAUUAAAUGGCUUUUUAGCAUACACUUUUCUUUUUCUUAUUUAUUUGAGUGAGAGAGAGAGAGGAGGGCAGAGGAAGAGAGGGAGAGAGGGAAUCUUAAGCAGGCUCCACACUCAGUGCAGAGCCUGACAUGGGGAUUCCAUGACCCCGAGAUCAUGACCUGAGCCGAAAUCAAGAGCUGGGCACUCCACGGCCUGAGCCACCCAGGCGCCCUUGGAAAACACUUUUCUUAAUCAUAGUUUGCCUGUGUUUGAGUAAGUGCUUAUGUGCACGCAUAUGUAUACACACACACACACACACACACACACACACAAAGGUGCUGUGAUCCCAACUCAGUGCUCUGAAUUGGACCUGUGGCCACAAUGCUGGCUCCUUUCAUUCCAGGAAGAAGACACAUCAGAGUCUCCAACACACCGGACCUGUUACCAGCAUUCAUGUCACAAAGCUCCUGGCUCUUCCUCUGGCUGCCACACUGUGGAGGAAGUGAUGUACGAGCGACCGUGUCCACGCACAGGGGAGGUCCCAGAAACGUCAUGGGGGAAAGACUGAAAGAUCUGUUCCUCCAGCCAUUCCGUAAGGGAAUUGUUCAGCAAAAGGCUUUCUGAAUUUAUGAGAAGGGAAACGUUCAAACUGUGAGUCCAGUUUAAAUUGUUUUUGGUUUCCGGGGCGCCUGGGUGGCGCAGUCGGUUAAGCGUCCGACUUCAGCCAGGUCACGAUCUCGCGGUCCAUGGGUUCGAGCCCCGCGUCAGGCUCUGGGCUGAUGGCUCAGAGCCUGGAGCCUGUUUCCGAUUCUGUGUCUCCCUCUCUCUCUGCCCCUCCCCCGUUCAUGCUGUGUUUCUCUCUGUCCCAAAAAUAAAUAAAUGUUGAAAAAAAAAUUAAAAAAAAAU
RNAcentral lists this long non-coding RNA (894 nucleotides) under Felis catus (domestic cat). RNAcentral describes it as "lncRNA (ENSFCAG00000044831.2)". Lineage: Eukaryota; Metazoa; Chordata; Mammalia; Carnivora; Felidae. The record is from RNAcentral.